Molecule: long non-coding RNA, 584 nt
Filed under: Coffea arabica (coffee)
Lineage: Eukaryota; Viridiplantae; Streptophyta; Magnoliopsida; Gentianales; Rubiaceae
Description: long non-coding RNA (CARA_LNC003988)
Source: RNAcentral
GAAAACCCCCACAAUGCAAACAAUGAAAGCGUGAUUUUACUAGCAUAAUUUUCAGCAUGAAAGACGAAUUUAACCGGAAAAUAGGUGGUCAGAUCAGUCUAGUUUGUGCAAAAGCUUUAUUCAUAUUGAUAUAAUACUUCUACUUUAGUCCUACAGCCCUACCCUAUUUUUGAAUAUCAGCCAUGUGAGCAUCAUUAUCCAAUUACGACCACAUGAAGAAGGAAGUACAAUGUACUUGAUUUUAUGCUAUCAAAUAUGUUAUCAUGUGAAAGCCUGGAUGGAUAACCAUCUUUGAAGCCGAUCAUGGUGAGAUACCAUGUUAUGUGGUGGCAAAAACUGAAGUUAAGCCAUUUACUUGAACCCAAUAGCACAUGAAACCCACUCAGCAGGUUCAAGAUUAAGCAGUAAGAGAGGACUCUGAGUUACUUGUUAAUGCUAUUAAAUGUUUAGACAAUUAGUCAUUAAGUAUAUCAACUCACCUCCCAAAUAUCAUUGCAGUGAGUGCAGUUGUGCCAGAGGACAGGGAAGGCUUAAGAAAGCAUGAAUUUGCAAAUGCAGCAUCUGUUUUCAAGAAAGACCUUGUA